This 305-nucleotide ribosomal RNA is filed under the name uncultured bacterium. RNAcentral describes it as "bacterial SSU rRNA". It matches the Rfam family "Bacterial small subunit ribosomal RNA", at positions 335 to 656 of the family's 1533-position model. The record is from RNAcentral.
CACCUACGGGGGGCAGCAGUGGGGAAUAUUGCACAAUGGGGGAAACCCUGAUGCAGCGACGCCGCGUGAGUGAAGAAGGCCUUUGGGUCGUAAAGCUCUGUCCUAAGGGAAGAAGGAAGUGACGGUACCUUAGGAGGAAGCCCCGGCUAACUACGUGCCAGCAGCCGCGGUAAUACGUAGGGGGCAAGCGUUAUCCGGAAUUAUUGGGCGUAAAGAGUACGUAGGCGGUUCUUUAAGCGCAGGGUUUAAGGCGAUAGCUUAACUAUCGUUCGCCCUGUGAACUGGGGGACUUGAGUAUCGGAGAG